GCGUGGAGAUACUUCUCAACAUCCCCCCUUUUGACACAUGGUCCUUUCCAUGUGUCAGCUUAGCGUAAUAAGGGAACAGUGCCCUUGGUAAGCACGGCUUGUCAUUGGGUCCAUGCCGCACCCCUUCCUUUAACUUGCCUCCCGCUCUUGACCACCUUUUCUUUUCGUCUGGUGUAGCCUGCAUCUGGAGGUCCUGCAAAUCAGCCGUUGGAACAGGGGUUAUCAGCAUUUGCAGACUUACGCGUCGGCUGCAGGUCUCAGCUCUGCCGCGUCUGCUUUUGCAUUACGUUGUGCGACCGGAUCAGUUUUCCCUGAGUGUGCAUCACAUUUGCAAACAGCAAUGGAGGUUACACCCCAUGAGAUUGAUUGGGCAACAGUUCAAGAACAGAAAUGCGAACUUGAACCUUUCCCCUUGGGGGGUUUCGCAUUCCAGAAGCAUGAUUUAACUGAACAUUAAUUCCCUAGCAGCCAUGGAGAGAUCUGAACAGGAUUAAGUGGGAUUUAGUGUAGCCUUCUGGAUACUUAAUCAGCUUGGCCAAAUCCCAGAAGACAUGACUUUAUACUUCAAACUCCUGGUACAA
Stegostoma tigrinum is the source of this 581-nucleotide long non-coding RNA. RefSeq lists it as uncharacterized. The transcript is spliced from 4 exons. The record is from RefSeq and is a predicted model, not a curated record. Lineage: Eukaryota; Metazoa; Chordata; Chondrichthyes; Orectolobiformes; Stegostomatidae.